CUAUUAAAUACAACAUUCCCUCCCUCUCACCCCAGCCUUAGAAAACCUAAAGCCUCCAUCAGUUUCCAUUGUCCACUAAAUUACUAUUACCUGAUUUCAGGUCAUUUUUUGAUACCAGGUUUUGAUGGAAACAGAAUAAAAGCAUAUGAGGGAUGCGAUAGUGAGGAGGACCCAAGGAAAGGGCCCAGCAAGACGUGGAUGAGGAGCCAUAGAUGAUCUACUUUAUAGUUUGCAAAGGGCUGGCAGCCUCCCUUAGCUACUGCCGAGACUUUGGAUCAUUCCAGCUAUAGCUAAGCACUUCUUUUGGUGAAGUCUGCAAGAUUCAAGGAUUGUGUACUCCUUGAAAGCACAUAUUAUCUCUCAGAGAUGUUAAGAAAAUACACAUCCUAAUACUGAUGUUUUUAUUUUCUAGGAAGUAUUGGGUCACAAUCAAUUCUAGUGAUAAACACUCUGCGUCUUUACAAAUAAAUACUCAGUGUUUUCCCUGGAACUAAUGUCUUUGUUCUUUCCUUGUACUUUGUACCCAUGCUUCCUAUUUUCCUUUGUUUUACCAAGUAGGCAGUGGACAGAAGGGACCAUUUUGUUGGGUCACAAAGGUAGCAAAAGAAAUAUACAGACUUAGGAAAAGUCAAGAUACAAUCUCUUACAGAUAGUUGAAGUACAAGGACAUCCUUGCAAAGCCUGGCACAAAUAACAAUAACUUUCUCAUGAGCAGACUCCCCAGCCCCAUUGUCCUACAUGUGGAGAAAAGGAAGGUCCUGCUGCUCACAGCUCUGAAAGUCUGUCCUGUGUGUGAUCACCACGUGGAUUCAGAGAGUGAGCUGGACAAGGUGUAUAAUCUGGACAGCUCCCAUCAUAGUCCACAGAACUGGUGCAUCCCAACCUUUGUCCUGGAGCUUCGUAACCCAAACCUCAGGUAGAAUUUAAGAUUCAGCACUGCAACUUUAAAACAGUGGUAUGUGUAGAGCCCAACCUUCUUCCCUUGUGCUUCCUGUUUGGCUUCCCCUGGGCUUCCUUGGGCUUCCCUUGUGGCUCAGCUGGUAAAGAAUCCACCUGCAAUGCGGGAGACCUGGGUUCUAUCCCUGGGUUGGGAAGAUCCCUUGGAGAAGAGAAAGGCUACCCACUCCAGUGUUCUGGCCUAGAGAAUUCCAUGGACAGUCCAUGGGAUCCCAAAGAGUCAGACAUGACUGAGCAACUUUCACUCACUUCACAUCCUUCUUCCAAUAGCAAAUUACAGUGAUGAAGUAGGUGGACCUGGAUUUAGGUAGAAACUUCCAAUCUUUCUGAAUCAGACUAUUUCUUUAAUAGUCACAGUAUCAGUGGAAUUCAAGCUUGAUCCCCAAAAGAUAUGCUUUACACGUCUUCUCCCUUCAGAACAUGCAAAAUGCUGCUCUGGAAACAGAUCUCUGAGAAAAUGCCCAUCAGUGGCACAAGGUGGUGCUGUCUAGACUUGGAGGGGUAGGGGUAGGAUUGAGAUGCAAAAAACCAGAGUAGGAAGGGACCAUGUUGCAUCGCUUCCCUGUUGAGAUGUAAACGAUCUGGGAACCAUCAUUGCUGGAAGGUGUAAAGCUCAGGAUGAAGGAGACUGGGAGGAUUUCAAAGAGGAAAGUUUGAAUUUAUCAAGUGGAAGCCCAAUGGUCAAUAUUAGGGAAAGAUAUUGAGAAGUAAAUGCCACAGAAGACACUGCGAGAAAUUGACCAUGAACAAAUGACAUGGAGGGGAUGUUUAUGGUGACUAUUUGUCCAGAGAUUUCCAAGCUUGAGCUCCUUGCUCCUGGAAGGUGCCCGGGAUAACAGAAGAAUGGAAGAGGAAGUCCCUCCAUAGAGGUGUGUGACAAAAAUUAAUAAUUUCACUUGUAUGUUGACCUUAUAAUGGAAAUACAAAAGUACAGGACAGCCUUUUGGCUGUUGGCUUCAGAAAAGAAAUACUAGAAAAUAAAAAUAAGCCAGAAUAUUUAUAGAAAAAGAGG
Bos indicus x Bos taurus (hybrid cattle) is the source of this 1969-nucleotide long non-coding RNA. Lineage: Eukaryota; Metazoa; Chordata; Mammalia; Artiodactyla; Bovidae. The record is from Ensembl.